CUUAGAUUUUCUUAAUUUAAUAGCAUAUUUUUAUUUAAAAUUUUAAAUAAAUAUAUUUAUUAAUUAUAUUAUAUAUUUUUAUAUUUUAGCGCCUCGCUUCGCUCGGGCGAGCGCCUAGCGCCUCGGGCGUUUUUGGACCUUGGCGCCUUUUGGCGCCUAGCGCUUUUUAAAUCACUGCUUAUAUCAUAUUCUUCUAGAUCUAUAGAAAUAGGCAGGGUAGUUGAGGGAAAAAGAAGUUGAGUGCUGCUUCCACAAUGUGGCCAACCCUACUAGAGCAAGAAUACUUCUACAAUUUAUUCCACCAUGCAUGAACGACAAUCCAUCUAAUCAAGCUAGCAUUGUUGUGGUCAAUGACUCAACAAUUUCCACGAACAAGAUUAGUAGCACAACCCAAUCUUAUCUUCCUCCAUGGUCAUUCAAUCCCAAGAAGGGUCCUGUCAGGUCAUGAGGUAGAAGACAACGAUAUUUAUCCUACUGAUAGACAAUGCUUAUUAUAAUUUUUAUAGGUGAAAUGAAGCCUCAUGGAUUGAAAUACCAAUCGAUGAUCUGCCAUUUCUCUUGAAAGCUUUAGGGAAACUUGAUUUCCAGAAGAAAGGGCUCAGCAUCAUAACUAUGUGGAAUUUGUUAAGAAGCCUAGACCAGUCAUUUAUUAAAAGUUAACCUUUUAGAAGAAUCGUUAUGUUUCUGUUUUUGAUGGAGGAUAUCACUACAUGUGGUGCUUUGGCCAAAUGUGGUUAUGGUAUUACAUUCAGGUGAAGCAAUUCUAGGAAGAGAACCUCCUAAGUCCCAGUAAUUAUUAACUAGAAAAAUCAAACUAGCUCACAGAUCUUAUUGCAUGAAAAAGAAAGAGAUAACAAAUUAAGAAUGAGCCGUAAUGGCUGUAAAGCUUGCCUAUCCAAAAGAGUACUGGUGCCUGCAUCCCCUCACUUAACUAAGAUUCUGAAUACUUUAGAACAAGGUUCGCCGUUUUUGGUACCCGACCUGUCUCGGUGAUCUGGUGGACUGGUACGUACCAGUCAGUACCGAUGUACUGACACAUGGUACGCUGGUGCGUAUGAGUGUUUUGAUGAGGAAGGAAAAGAGGGAGAAGAGGAAGGAGCAGUGGAGGAAUACAGGAAGGAGGAAGGAAGAAGAGAACGUGGUAGAGGAGGAAGAAAAAAAAGGAAGAAGAAGAAGAAAGAAGAGGAGGAGAAGAAGCAACAGUGUUGAAGCAGCAGUGGUGAGGCAGUUGCACACGAGCCCUAAGUUUUUUUUUUUCUUUUUUUUAAUGCCGAGUUACAUAGGGGCCCACCACUUUUCUGAUUUUUUUUAUUAUUUUAAUCGGACCACCUGAAAUGGGGUGGUCUGUGUAUCAGCUCAUGCCCGGAUGGAUACAUACUGGCUGUACCAUACUGUUUCGGUCAGUACAUCCGUCCUUGCUUUAGAAUAAUUGGUCUAAGAUUCCGAGUACUCUAGAAUAAUUGGUCAGAUACAUGACUUUUAUGCUGAACUAGUCAAGUAAACAUUUUAUCUUUUCAUAUUGUUUCUAGCUAAUAUCUGUGGCUUUGGCUUAAACCAAAACUUGCACGUCCACCAAGACCAUCUAUGCAGUCCUAGACAGAAAUGCAAGUUGUGGGGAAAACAAAGUUUGAUCAUAAUAAACUAGGCAGAUAAAAAAAUUGGCCAUAAUGGGCCAAGAUAUGUCAAAACUGCAUUUCUUAGCUUGGUAUUAGCCACCCCAAGUUGGGGUAUACGUGCACCAUGAUUGGGAUUACCUAGCACAGAUUAUAGGCAUGAUUGAAACCUGUUAACUGCCAAAGCUCCAUACUGAUUAUUUUCACAAUGGGGAGUCCUCUUUCUACAGGUUCUAAAUAGUUUUUCUUCAGGUGAUGCCUGGAAUCCCCUUUUCAGUAUCCUGCUUGUGUUAAGGUUUGGAAAUCCAGAUAUUUAGCCCACUUCCAAAACAAAUUCUUGGAAUUUGAUAUUUCAGAACAUGCUUAUCACUUGAUUCCACUAAAGUGCUAAUCCAGACUUGAUGUGGUUCUCGAAGUUUGUAUAUCACAUCGUUGUAUAUUUACAAACUAAUUUGGGAUAUUACUUGUAACUUCUUAUAUGCUGGAUGUAGUUGCAGUCUUUAUUAUUCUGUCACUAGGAAAUACAUUCUAUGAUGUAAAUACUACAUGGCGUUUGUCAUGCGUAAGUUUUUUUGUUUUUGAUUAUUGCCCAAAUUUGUAUGGGUAAUUUGUUUUAAUACGUGUCAUAGUAUUUGCUAUAUGAGGUUCAUUCUAUUACUAAUCUUUAGGUUCUUGUGGCAGUGGGCUGCUUUUUUGGAUUCUGAAGGACGGAUUCUUGAUUCAAAAGCAUUAAGAGAGAGAAUAUUUUAUGGUGGAGUUGAUCAGAAUAUACGAAAAGAGGUUUGUAAAUGAGCUUCAACUUGAAUACUGUAGCUGCUUAUGAAUUUCUGGGCAUUGCAUUUAGAAUUGAAGUGCAGGUAUGGAAAUUCUUGCUGGGAUACCAUGAGUAUGAUUCAACAUAUGCUGAGAGAGAAUAUCUUACUUCAGUUAAGAAAUCCGAGUAUGAAGUUAUAAAAUCCCAGUGGCAGGUGCGCCAUGCUGUUACCUACCUUAUUGAUGUUUAGUUUCUGAGGAAAAUCUUUUCCCAUAAUUUGUUUUCCUUCAUAUCUAUCCGGCAGAUGUUUGUAUGCUUCUUUGUUAUCGAAAUUUGUGCACAUUAUCCAAUUCAAUGAUUCCUUUUCCUGGUCUUGCUGAUUGCGGAAUCAGACAGAGCAUCCUUGGAAACUGAGGAGAUACUACUGUUCCACUUAGAACUGCAUCUGUUUCUUUAUGGAAAACUUUAUAUUUAGAAAUAAUUUAAUCCAAACUUUUGUAGUACUCUUUGUUUGUUGUUUAUUUUGUUAACAUUGAAAUCCUUUAUCCGACAGAUAACAAGUAGCAACACUAUUAUCACUGGUCAUUUAUAUAGAUACAAGAUAGCACUCUAGAAGAGAAACUGAUCUGUAAUUUCCAUUGUCAUUUCUGUCAUUAUAUUGAAUAUGAAAGCUACGUUUUUACAUUAGAUACUUAUAACAUUUGGACUUAUGUUAUUGAUUGAUUAUGAUAUUAAGAGAUUUUUGCCUACAUGGAAAAUUAUGCUCAGAUAAAUUAUUCACUCUUGGGACCUAGGAUUUUCUUCAUUCAGGAAUGGCUUGUGAUACUAACAAAUUACAAUGAAUUGCUGUCUGCAUGGCAUAGUUAAAGCUGUGUCUUCACUAACUUGCCAGCAGAAAAGGAUAAAAAGAAAAAUUGGAAGAAAGAGAAUGAAAAAAAAAACUGAAAAUCAGAUUCCUUUUAGCUGUUGGUAACCCUCUAAAGAGGAAAAGUUCUCUGGUAGUAACUCAAACUUAAAAAAUUGUCAAUGCCCUUCAAAUACAUUCCAUUCCAUUCCCCUCCUUGGUUGUGUCAUUAAAUGGCCUAAGUUAAUGGAUUAAAUCCUUAGCUCCAACAGGUUCUUUUAGUUACUUCAGUUGAUUGGUUAAAUAAAGGAACUAGUCUGAUGGACUUUAAAAAGAAAAAAGAUUUUAAUGGGGGAUCCUUGCAACCCUUUGUCCACAAACCUGUUUGUUACUAGCUGUUGAGAUUUGAAACACCAGUCAGAGCAUAUGUAUUGGGCAGUAUUUCCGGUCUGACCACUUACUCGUAUCGGAAGAUAAUCAUGUAUAGCUCAACACCAGUAUAUAUCAGUUCAUUUAUAUCUUUUAAUUAUUUAAUUCAGUGAUACCUGGCAGUAUGCGUUUGGCUGCCCCCUAUGCUGGUACCAUAGUGGUCUGAUAGGUUAGUAAAAAUGUUAUCGGAGCAAUAUUCAGAUCCUUGCUAGGCAUACUCAUGUAAUUUCCUUGGUGCCAUGAUUUAUUCUUGUGAAGUUGACUAGCUGAUAGUGUUUAUUCGAACUGCAUGAACAGCUUUAUGGUUCUUUGUUUGACAUUUUGUAGCUAUUUCAGCUAUAUCUUAUGUGCCCAAAUCCAAAUGCUAGGCAUAUUAUAUUUUCCAAAGAUAAUCUGAAUGCCCAGGUAGGAUAAUAGGAUAUAGCUGGAAAAUGCUAAUACAUUUUCUAAAUCCGAAUUUAUUAAAUUUACCAAAUCUAGGAUCCGAACUGUAUCAUUGAUAAUAAUAGGAACUGAACAUUAUAUUAUGGCAAGAAAAAGUUUGAUUCAGAGGGAGAAGUAGCUGCAGAAAUUCAAACAACAAUAUCAUUUGAUUUGUCGAUCCUCAAAAGAAAAAAAAAUAAGCAAAGUUCCAUCAUUGAGUGAAAAAUGGGAAAUUCAUGGAAAAUUGCAAUCCCCACCACGUAAUAGUGCACCUAUAUGUCUAUGUCGAUGUUGUUUUUUUUGACUAGAAGACCGAGAGCUAACUAUCGAGGCUUUGGGCUAUCCGGACACACUUUGAGAAAUUUACUAUGGCAAGGGGGGAUCUACCUUGGAGAGGGACGAUCCAAAAUGUCUAACAAAGAACCAUAAAAUGUCAUUGCUAAUAGGAUAUAGCUGCCCAAAUUUAAUAUAGGAUAUAGCUGGAAAAUGUAUUAACGUUAAAAAAAAAUUAUUAGCAUUUUCCAACUAUUUCAGCUAUAUCCUACCUGCCCAAAUUUAAUAUAUCUGAAUUUAACAAAUUCGGAUUUGGUAAAUUUAAUAAAAUUUAAUAUAAGAAGGC
Molecule: long non-coding RNA, 4682 nt
Filed under: Musa acuminata (dwarf banana)
Lineage: Eukaryota; Viridiplantae; Streptophyta; Magnoliopsida; Zingiberales; Musaceae
Description: long non-coding RNA (MACU_LNC005937)
Source: RNAcentral